RNAcentral lists this ribosomal RNA (445 nucleotides) under uncultured bacterium. Its description in RNAcentral is "bacterial SSU rRNA". It matches the Rfam family "Bacterial small subunit ribosomal RNA", at positions 330 to 792 of the family's 1533-position model. The record is from RNAcentral.
GCCAGACUCCUACGGGAGGCAGCAGUGGGGAAUAUUGCACAAUGGGGGAAACCCUGAUGCAGCGACGCCGCGUGAGUGAAGAAGUAUUUCGGUAUGUAAAGCUCUCUCAGCAGGGAAGAAAAUGACGGUACCUGAUUAAGAAGCCCCGGCUAACUACGUGCCAGCAGCCGCGGUAAUACGUAGGGGGCAAGCGUUAUCCGGAUUUACUGGGUGUAAAGGGGGCGUAGACGGUGAUGCAAGUCAGAAGUGAAAGCCCGGGGCUCAACCCCGGGACCGCUCUGGAAACUGCCCGGCUGGAGUGCGGGAGAGGUAAGCGGAAUUCCUAGUGUAGCGGUGAAAUGCGUAGAUAUUAGGAGGAACACCAGCGGCGAAGGCGGCUUACUGGACCGUGACUGACGUUGAGGCUCGAAAGCGUGGGGAGCAAACAGGAUUAGAUACCCUAGUA